Micropterus dolomieu (smallmouth bass) is the source of this 421-nucleotide long non-coding RNA. RefSeq lists it as uncharacterized. NCBI's taxonomy places the organism in Eukaryota, Metazoa, Chordata, Actinopteri, Centrarchiformes, Centrarchidae. The transcript is spliced from 3 exons. The record is from RefSeq and is a predicted model, not a curated record.
AAAGAUAAAAGGAGAGUCCAUCCUCUUCAACUGGCUGAAGGACAUAGUCAACCAUUUUGGUGGUGUUGCAAGACUGCCGACACACGUGGGCAGUUUCUUGCAUUAUGGGUUGGCAUCCUUCACCAUGUCUGCAACAUUCACACCUACACUAUGGGAAGUUGCAAACACGAGCACCUUGAAUCGGAUCAAAUGCGGGGAAAGAUGUGGAUCCAGAGAGACUCCCAGUGCCACAAAGCUUUAGUGGAUAUAGUUCUCGAUAAGAGGUGGCAGAAAGAUGUUCACAACUAUCUGCGAUUCAGAUCGACUGCAGACCUAGAGUCAUUCCAGAAUCAUAUCCUGAUGUGUGCCAGCAAGCGCUAUACUUUCAGCCCCCCAGUUUAUGAGGCAAGAGUUCUGCUUGCUGCUUUGGACUACAAUUUCC